CUUCACCUGACAAUGCAAAUUUACUUAUGAUCUAGUGAUGGAGGAAAUCACAAUGUGCGAUGAAACCGGUAGCAUUUGCACUAACUGGCAUUGACUGCAUGGCAAUCGCGCAGACAAACACUACAAGUGAUAACACAAAGUUCGUAAAUGGAAAAUUGUUGGUGAGCAGAAUGCCUUCCAGUGAUAGAGGAUGGUAAGAAGAGGAAAGGCAUUUGGCAGCUCUGUUUAUUGGUGGGUCUUGGGUGAUUUGGGAAGAAAGAAAUGGAAGGUGUUUUAGGAACUUAGUCAUUCUUUGGGUUGGGUUAAGAUGCAAGCAAGGUGCCUGGUUUUUUAGUGGGCUUCAUGUUUGGGUGGGGAUAUUGAUUGUUGUUUUUUGUAACUUCUGGUGGGGACUUCAGUUGAGUAUUUUUUUUUGUAAAUUUGGGUGACUGGCUUCGGCUUAUUGUUAUAUAGUACUUGCGCUUUUUGUGCUCUGGUUAUAUAAAAAAUUGUUACCUCUGAAAAAUAAUAAUAAAUAAAAUCCCAUUGCAAUUAGA
This is a long non-coding RNA of Magnolia sinica, 536 nucleotides long. RefSeq lists it as uncharacterized. The transcript has 2 exons. The record is from RefSeq and is a predicted model, not a curated record. NCBI's taxonomy places the organism in Eukaryota, Viridiplantae, Streptophyta, Magnoliopsida, Magnoliales, Magnoliaceae.